This 253-nucleotide ribosomal RNA is filed under the name uncultured bacterium. RNAcentral's name for it is "partial 16S ribosomal RNA". It matches the Rfam family "Bacterial small subunit ribosomal RNA", at positions 524 to 776 of the family's 1533-position model. The record is from RNAcentral.
UACGUAGGGUGCAAGCGUUAAUCGGAAUUACUGGGCGUAAAGCGUGCGCAGGCGGUUAUUUAAGACAGAUGUGAAAUCCCUGGGCUCAACCUUGGAACUGCCUCUGUGACUGUAUAGCUAGAGUACGGUAGAGGGGGAUGGAAUUCCGCGUGUAGCAGUGAAAUGCGCAGAUAUGCGGAGGAACACCGAUGGCGAAGGCAAUCCCCUGGACCUGUACUGACGCUCAUGCACGAAAGCGUGGGGAGCAAACAGG